This is a small RNA of Hucho hucho (huchen), 78 nucleotides long. The record is from Ensembl. Lineage: Eukaryota; Metazoa; Chordata; Actinopteri; Salmoniformes; Salmonidae.
UACUAGCCCAGAUGGAAACGGCAUCCUUUUUCUUUUUCCUUUAAAAAGAAAAAGAUAUAGUGUACAGCUGGAUAAAGC